This 305-nucleotide ribosomal RNA is filed under the name uncultured bacterium. RNAcentral's name for it is "bacterial SSU rRNA". It matches the Rfam family "Bacterial small subunit ribosomal RNA", at positions 498 to 802 of the family's 1533-position model. The record is from RNAcentral.
UUCCUACGGGGGGCAGCAGCCGCGGUAAUACGGAGGAUCCGAGCGUUAUCCGGAUUUAUUGGGUUUAAAGGGAGCGUAGAUGGGUUGUUAAGUCAGUUGUGAAAGUUUGCGGCUCAACCGUAAAAUUGCAAUUGAUACUGGCAGUCUUGAGUACAGUUGAGGUAGGCGGAAUUCGUGGUGUAGCGGUGAAAUGCUUAGAUAUCACGAAGAACUCCGAUUGCGAAGGCAGCUUACUAAACUGCCACUGACAUUGAUGCUCGAAAGUGUGGGUAUCAAACAGGAUUAGAUACCCCUGUAGUCCACCG